This 564-nucleotide ribosomal RNA is filed under the name uncultured bacterium. RNAcentral describes it as "bacterial SSU rRNA". It matches the Rfam family "Bacterial small subunit ribosomal RNA", at positions 338 to 917 of the family's 1533-position model. The record is from RNAcentral.
CCUACGGGAGGCAGCAGUGGGGAAUCUUGCGCAAUGGGCGAAAGCCUGACGCAGCAACGCCGCGUGCGGGAAGAAGGCUUUCGGGCUGUAAACCGCUUUCAGCAGGAACGAAAAUGACGGUACCUGCAGAAGAAGGAGCGGUCAACUAUGUGCCAGCAGCCGCGGUGAUACAUAGGCUUCAAGCGUUGUCCGGAUUUAUUGGGCGUAAAGAGUUCGUAGGCGGUCAAGUAAGUCGGGUGUGAAAAUUCUGGGCUCAACCCAGAGACGCCACCCGAUACUGCUUAACUUGAGUUCGAUAGGGGAGUGGGGAAUUCCUAGUGUAGCGGUGAAAUGCGCAGAUAUUAGGAGGAACACCGGUGGCGAAGGCGCCACUCUGGAUCGAUACUGACGCUGAGGAACGAAAGCAUGGGUAGCAAACAGGAUUAGAUACCCUGGUAGUCCAUGCCGUAAACGGUGGGCACUAGGUGUGGGUUUCUAUUAACGAAAUCCGCGCCGUCGCUAACGCAUUAAGUGCCCCGCCUGGGGAGUACGGUCGCAAGACUAAAACUUAANAGAAUUGAACGG